Long non-coding RNA from Rhipicephalus microplus (southern cattle tick), 274 nucleotides. NCBI's taxonomy places the organism in Eukaryota, Metazoa, Arthropoda, Arachnida, Ixodida, Ixodidae. The record is from RefSeq and is a predicted model, not a curated record.
GACCGUAUGAAGGAUUGCGCGGUGAAAUACCAAUAUCCUGAAGUUAGCAGAUACUGCUUCGGUUACCACUGCAAUUAUUACACGAUGACUAAAUACACGUACGAACAUGCCCUGGACUUCAUGUACUGUGGUGUGGGCAAGGUAAGAGACUGGAAGGGACCAAGAAGUUGCUACAAGCGCAUAUAUAUAUGAGGUUUGUGUACGAGGCGUGUGCAAGAGCAGCGGCGGCAGUUUGCCGCAAAGGCCAGCCACCAAGAGAACAAUAAUGACGACA